ACAGACGGGUACAAACAAAAAUCAACGCGGACUCGUGGCUUAAAUAAGUAUAAAAGCUGGGCCUGGCUAUAAACAUUCAAUUGAAACGACCCAUUUUGACACAGUGAAGUAUAAGCCCACUGACUGGUUGAAACAGCCAUGUACAAGGUGUCCCUGCUCGUCCUCGCCAUGACGUGUUGUGCUGUACUUGCUAUACUCGUGACGCCCUCCGCUGGACAGCAUGUCUACCUCGGUUAUCCGUACACAUAUGGAUACGCCUACCCCUACACCGGCUACGGUGGUUAUGGCUACUACCCAUACGGUGCUUAUGGAUACUAUGGCACUCACGUGCGUCUUUUGAAGAAGUAAGAGAAAGCGACGUUGAUGACAUUGUCUGAGUAUUCAUUUGAAAAAUAUGUUUGUAAAUGAUCGCUUGUGCCCGUAUCCUCGAAUAAAUUCUCGAAGCGCUGAGUCA
Varroa destructor (honeybee mite) is the source of this 454-nucleotide long non-coding RNA. RefSeq lists it as uncharacterized. The record is from RefSeq and is a predicted model, not a curated record. Lineage: Eukaryota; Metazoa; Arthropoda; Arachnida; Mesostigmata; Varroidae.